This is a long non-coding RNA of Chiloscyllium plagiosum (whitespotted bambooshark), 1792 nucleotides long. RefSeq lists it as uncharacterized. The record is from RefSeq and is a predicted model, not a curated record. Lineage: Eukaryota; Metazoa; Chordata; Chondrichthyes; Orectolobiformes; Hemiscylliidae.
UCUAUCCGUCGCCAUUUUGUAAACCGGUUUCCAGGGAAACGCAAGGUCAUUGUUUUUCCUAAGGAUUAUUUUUAAAGAUAGAAUUUUUGAUUCUCUCUCACCAAGUUGAGCGGAAAUUGCUUUCCUUUCAAUCCUCUGUUUUUUGUCUAACUGGUAUGGCGAAUAAUUUAAAUGUAUUCGACUUGGUCUUCAUGACCAAGUUCUAGGCUCAAGAGCAUGUUUUUGUUUUGUAAUGAAUGUUCAUUCCAGCAACGCCGAGGAUAUACACUUCUCUUCGAGGCUUCUUUCAAGUUCGGAUGGCUCUGGUAAAGGGCAGCUGCCUUCUUCGCAGAGUUAGCAAAAUGAGAACCCAGGAUUACAAAGCAAGGUGUAGCCGGAGCACCUGAUUCAGUGAAAAUGUUUCCUGAAGCUGAGCAAUAAAGUACGUGACCCACAUUUUCUAGUAAGUUGGUGAGUGAUUGCCGACGAGAGUGAUAAGGUAUAUUUUAGAUAAGGGUCAGAUCUUUAGUCAUAUAAAGAAAGAACAGGUGCAGUUUAAUCCUGUCAGCAAUUAAGUUAUUCUACCACAUAUCCCUAGCAUUCGAAAUCGUAGAGGAUUAAUUAAAUUACAGACUUGAAGGGGGAGGGAAUGUGGGGAAUCCUCGGGACCAACUCGUGCUCUUUUUGAAAUAUCUCCAUUAUCUCAGGAUAAUAAGGCGGUGUGGUAUUUUUGUCGUGUGCAUCCUUGCCUUAAGAUUUAUAUCCGCGCAUAAUGGUGACUUUUUUUGGAUAGCAUUUCUAUAUUUUAAUUUAUAAAAACUCUGAAUACACUGAACAUGUUUUUCUCUCUGCAUGCACAACCCUCCUAUUCAAGACUCGGGCUUUUCCCCAGAAGCCCCUCCGAAAAUGGCCACCAGGUGGUGAGAUGAGAACUUUGCUUUGACUCUAGCCAGUUCUUUUUGGCUGUACUAAUCACAGAUGUACAGACAUGAUGGACUGAAUGGCCUCUUUCUCUGCUCAGUUUGCUGGAUGUCUGGUUUACAAUGCACGUGAUGCCAACAGCACAGGUUCAACUCACGUACUCGCAGAGGUCACCAUGAAGUUCUGUCCUGCUUUCUCAACCUCGGCUGUGGCAUGACGACUCUCAGAUUCUUCUCUGACCUUACCUUCACAGAUGAUGCCUGGUCUGAGAAGUGUUUUCAACUCUAUGUGCUUAGAGGUUUAUACAAAUCUGGAACAUGGUCCUAACACUGCCCUCAACGAUGUCCACAGACACAUUUUCUUUUUUGCAGGAGGUUACUGGAUAUUAUUAAGAUGAAAAUAUUAGUUUGACUUCUUCUAGCCCUAAAGCAAAUUCUUGAAAACAUUCCGCAGGUCAGGAGUAUUUGCAAAAAGAAUCGAUGAAGUAUUUUGAACAUGAGUCGUUCUCAGGACUACUGGACUGUAGGUUCUGUUCAAUGCCUGAAUGCUUCUGAAGAUUUGAGGGUUUUUUUUUUUUACGAUUGUCAGUACCUACAACAUUUUGCCUUUUGCCAAACUAAAAUCAGCUUUCAAUUAUCUUCUUGUUCUGUAUUUCUCAGUUCCAUUGAGGAGAAAGUUAAGGUGCUACAUGAAAAGCAAACUGGACACUGCAAGAGUUUGAAGGCUGGGUUAAUGAAGUUGACUAAAUCCAUUACUGGAUUUAAACAGACACUUUUGAAAAUGGUGAGUUUCAGAAUGCUGAGGCAUGAUGACUAAAGGUUAUUUUGCCAAUCAGGAAGUGGAAGAAAAUACAGUGUACCAGAGUAGAGGGUGUUAAUUUGAGUCUAGUAGA